This 479-nucleotide ribosomal RNA is filed under the name Holothuria scabra. RNAcentral's name for it is "partial 16S ribosomal RNA". It matches the Rfam family "Bacterial large subunit ribosomal RNA", at positions 1858 to 2605 of the family's 2925-position model. Lineage: Eukaryota; Metazoa; Echinodermata; Holothuroidea; Aspidochirotida; Holothuriidae. The record is from RNAcentral.
CCUGCCCAGUGGCUAAAGCUAAACGGCCGCGGUAUCUUGACCGUGCAAAGGUAGCAUAAUCAUUUGUCUUUUAAAUGGAGACUUGUAUGAAUGGCGGAACCUUCUUCAACUGUCUCCCUUUCCACUCCCCCAAAUUUCUAUUUCCGUGAAGAAGCAGAAAUAAAAGAGAAAGACGAGAAGACCCUGUCGAGCUUCAGCUUAAAGGUGAAAAACUAAACAUCAUCCAAAAGCUUUGGUUGGGGCAACCAUGGAGAAAACACAUCCUCCAGAAAAAAUAGAAGAAAACCCUUCACUAUUUUCAACCUCAAAGAACCAGAAACUGGUAAUCGGAAAAAGUUACCGCAGGGAUAACAGCGUAAUCUUCUCUAAGAGUCCUUAUUGACGAGAAGGUUUGCGACCUCGAUGUUGGAUUGGGGCCUCCUUUGGGUGCAGAAGCUCUAAAAGGUUAGACUGUUCGUCUAUUAAAGCCCUACGUGAUC